GAAUAGUUUUAUUAUAUAUCUGACUUCAAUUUUACCACUCGUGAUCCCUUGGUUUAUUGUGACGCGUUGAUGACUCCGAUAUCUAACCAUAUUAUUCCUUUAAGUUUUGAUGCAAUUUCCGUAGCAACAUACAUUUAAAUUAUCCGCUUUUUUAUAAGAUACGUUAACACUGUUUAUAUAAUCAAUAUAAAUAUGUAAAAGAUUUUACAAGUGUGUUACGUUUAGCUUCAAGCAUAUACAUUGACUGUACAGACAUGGUAUUGCGAAAAACAUUCAUACAUCGCUAUUAUCUAAAUCAUCAUGAAAAAUAUUUAUCAUCAGUAGCCAAUAUUCCUAUUUUAGUUUGUCUGUAAUCAAGGCUAACCCAUCAUACUCUAUUAAUAGGAUUUCAGUACAGAAUCAAUGUUCCGAUUACGCGCCAACCAGGUCACGUCGACAUUUUUAUUUUUAGAACAGGGCAACGACCGUCAAUAGAAGGAACGUUAACGAAGAAGGUAAGUCUAUUGACAUAUUACAAUAGGAUUCUUAAGAAAGUUUAAUUGCUAAUUAAUAAAAAAAUGGACAAUAAAUAUGGAGAACAUCAUUAAAUAUAAUGUAAGAAAUUGAAAAUACUAUAUAUGCACUGCGUUAUAGAUUCAUGCAGAAUUAAUUUGAGAAAAAAAUCAGAACUAUUCAAUAUUUGUCUCGCUUGUUUAAAUUAGUUAAUCCUUUCCUUCCAAAGUCCAAAAUUUAAUUGCUAAUUAAUGGAAAAUGGACAAUAGAUAUAGUGAAUAUUAUUAAAUUUAAUGUAAGAAGUAAAAAUUACUUCAUAUGCACUGUGUUAUAGUUAAAUGCAGAAUUGAUUUGAGAUAAAUCAGAGCUAUUCAAUACACCAUUGAAUCCUUUCCUUCCAAAAUCAAAAGUUUAAUCACUAAUUAAUAGAAAAUGAACAAAAGAUAUAGAGAAUAUUAACAAAUAUAAUGUAAAUAUGAUGUAAGAAGUUAAAAAUAUACUCCAUAUGCAAUGUGUUUUAAGUAAACACAGAACUUCAUCUGAAAAUAAAUCAGAACUGUUUAAUAUUUGUCUUGGUUGUUUUACUUAGUUAAUCAUUUCUUUCAAAGUCCAAAAUUUAAUUGCUAAUAAUAGAAAAUGGACAAUAGAUAUAGUGAAUAUUAUUAAAUAUAAUGUAAGAAGUAAAAAUUACUCCAUAUGCACUGUGUUAUAGUCAAAUGCAGAAUUGAUUUGAAAUAAAUUAGAACUAUUCAAUAUAUCAUUUAAUCCUUUCCUUCCAAAAUCAAAAGUUUAAUCGCUAAUUUAUAAAAAAUGUACAAUAGAUAUAGGGAAUAGUAUUAAACAUAAUAAUAAUGUAAAUAUAAUGUAUGAAGUAAAAAAUAUACUCCAUAUGCAAUGUGUUUUAGUUAAACACAGAAUUGAUCUGAAAAUAAAUCAGAACUGUUUAAUAUUUGUCUCGCUUAUUUUGAUUUUUAAUCCAUUCCUCCAAAAGUCUAAGGUUUAAUUGUUAAUUAAUAACAAAAUGGACAAUAAAUAUGGAUAAUAUUAUAAAAUAUAAUGAAAGAAGUUAAAACUUAUUCCAUAUGCACUGUGUUAUGGUUAAAUGUAGAAUUCAUUUAAGAAUAAAUCACAACUAUUUAACACUUGUCUUGCUUGUUGUGAAUAUAUGAUCUGUACUGUCAAAAGUCUUUUUUCUAAUCUUGUAUUUUGAUUAUCAUAGACAUCAUAAUAAGUCUUUUUUAAAUCGAAAAUUGAUUUUAGUUGUAUUUAUAUUAUUGUUAAAAGACAUCGAAAAUUGUAAUAAGAUAGUUAUAAUUGACAGUAUUAGUACUUUCUUAUUAUAAUGUAUUAACUUUAAAAAAUCUUUUGUUCAUUACUUAGAAAUAAAUACACGUGACCCGGUAUGUAAACAAGGUUUAACUUAUAUAAGGUUUAUCUAAAAACAGGUUGUUUUUCAAUAAACAAAAAUUUCAAAUUAUAUAUGCUAUAGAUAUCAUAAAAAAAUUAAUAGCAGCAUUUUCCUGUUCAGUUAUUAAAGUAGUUAUGUAAAAUGCAGUUACAAGCACUACAAAAAUAUAUUUUUAUUAAAUAAUUUCUGUGUAAAUAAAGUCAACUGAAAAAAUUAUUUGUGGAAAAUGUAUUGACAUCCAUUUAAAAUUUCAUAAAUAUUUUUUUAAAGAGGAAUGCUUUAUUUUAUUUUUUUUUUUUUUUAAAUUUGUUAGUAAACUUUGAAAAAUGGUGAUUACCAAUUCAGUGCACAAAGGGUGUCGUUCGGAUCUGACCUUGAUCCGAGGUAUGAAUUUAUAAAUUCCUUUUUCGUAUUGUUAAACAUCUAGGAUUUAAUGAAUGUGACCUGACCUUUGGAUUAUGCGUCGUAAGUUAAGUGUUUUAACAAAGAUAUGUUCGUCAUAAAAUUAUCUAAAAACGAAUAGAUAUGUAACAAAAAUAGUCAGAAAUAUGACGUCUGAUGUGUUUGAGCUUUUGAUUUUGCCCUUUGAUUAUGGACUUUCAGUUUAGGAUUUACCUCCGAGUUCGGAAAUUUUGUUACUGUUUACUGCUUACUGUUGGAAAUUUAAUAUUUGAAAUUGGAGUAUAUUUGAUAAUUAUACAUUUGCAUUUGUUGAAAAACUUAAUUUUGUACUUAUCAUUUUUUAUUUUGUUCUUAUAAUUUUUUCAUUUAUUGUAAUUUUUAGGUUAAUCCUUAUAAAAAUUAUACCUUGGAAAUAUAGCUAUAUCCUUCUUCCCUUGAUUUAUAACAUUUGUAUUUGUCAGGUUUUAUGGACUUAAUGUGGUACCUAACACUACAUGGAGAUAACUCUGUAAAAUCAGCUUAAAGUUUAAAUUAUGUUGUGUUGUUAAGGGAACAUUAACAUGAUUAAGCUUCUCUAUGAUCAAAAUUAGUGUUUGUCAAAUUGCUAUUUAAGCAGUGUAAUAUUUAUGACAAAAUGAUUGGUUCAAAUUUUUUGAAAUUUUUAUAUUUUUGUCAAAGGGUCAAAGUAAAUACUUUGUCAAAAUUUUAUGAAAAUAAAACGAGCCAAAUUAAUUUUAGUGAAAGUGUGGGUACCACCUUAACCUUUUAUUUUUUCAUUUUUUUCAUUUUUUAUAUUUUUUUUUAAUUCUUAACAUAUUUUAUGAACUUGAUCUUUAAUUCAUCCUUGAGUUUGGUAUUCUUGUUAAACUCAUUAAGUGGUGUUAUAGAUCUGUAAUUAUGACAAAUUCCUCAGCCAUUAGUUGUUUUAAAUAAGCAAUUAUAUUAUUUAUAAAAUAACAAUUGACUGCAAAUAAAAAUAAGUUAUAUGAAAUAUUUGCAGUAUUAAUGAUUAUAAUUGAAGGAAAUAUAAUGCAAUGCAGUUUUAAUUUAUUAAGAACAAAUUUGGUAACAAAUUACAACAAGUACCAAGAAGUUACAGAAGUUACUGUAUGGAUACAUGUGUUGACAAUUAAAAAUAUCAUGAUCUUAAGGUGGUAGACCUAGGUUAAGGGAAGUAACUCUUAAAAUCAUCAGUACGUUUGUGUCAACCAUUUUCAAAAACAUAUUCUAAGCUUCUAGGUUACAUAGAUUAUUUUCAAUCUGUUUCAGGUAAAUGCUUAAAAUACAUUGAUGAACUUGACUUUUACAAACGCUUGACUGAUUUAAAGAGUUAUCUCCCUUAACCUAGGUCUACCUCCUUAAACAUUAAGAUAUGUCUGUUUGUUUUGCUCACACAUUCUUGUCUAUACAAUGGAAUUUUAUGCGACUGUUAUACACAGAUGAAGUUUAGCUAACUCUAGAACCAGAUUGUAUCCACAUUUGUUUUACACAAGGAAUUGCCUGUACCAAGUCAGGAGAAAUAGUACAGUUGAUUUCAAUUUGUUCGAUGGGUUUCAGCUUUCAAUUUUGCCAUUUGUGAGGGCACGUUUCGUUUUGCAUUUUUCUUAGAGAUCAAUAUUUUUGGUAUCUUACUGGUUUUAUUAUAUCCGAACAGUAUAUACAAAGAAAACAAUAAUCCAUUGGCUAAUAAUGUGCCCAUUACUAGUUCUUGUUUACUCACAAUUAAAGGGAUAGAAAAUAAAACAUUAUAUUUUGUAACUGUUUACAAUUUUAAGCUGUUUUAAAGUACCAUGCUAAAAAAGAUGCCACCAAAAUAUAGGUAUAUCUUACAAUUAUAACUGGGCCACCUUUCGAAAGUGACGUAAUUGUGGAGUAAUUAAGUGUUUCGAGUGUGGUUUAUAUUUUAGUAUGAGCACAUAAAGGGAAAGGGCAGAUGGAUUGGUUACCCCUAUGAUUUCAUUAAAAUGGUAUAAAGAUGGAUUAUACCUUUUUGUAAUCUUUGUACUCGAUACUUAUGCUGUUCUCUUUAAAGUCCAUCCAACCUUUUACAUAUUUAUUGGUCACAUCUUUCACUAUGGCAUUUAAUCUUUUAAAAAGUUUUAAAAAAAUAUUAUUGAAAUAUAUUUGCUUCAGAUGACAAGAUACAACAUCAACCAGUUGAUAGUAAUAAACUUAUAUUUUCAAUAUUUUAGUCUUCUAUUGGUUAGCCACAAAACCAUGUUCAACACAUUUUUUUUUCUUAAAAUGACCUGUACCAAGUAAGAAAAAUUAACAUUGUUAUAAUAUAGUUCUUUACUGUGUGUGUUGCAUUUUUGUGUUUCUGUUGUGUCAUUGUUCUUUUCUUAUAUGUGAUUUUGUUUCCCUCAGUUUUAUACGGUAACCCGGAUUUGUUUGUUUUUUUAAAUCGAUUAAUGAAUUUCUAACAACAACAACAACAACAACAACAAUACUUUAUUUUAAGAGGGUUACACAGUUAGCUAUAUAACUAAUCUUCCCUGAGGCCCUCGACAUGAGAAAUCAAACAAAAUGCAAACAUAUACAUUGCAUACAUCAGUAUAAAAAGUCAAGUAUGAUAAUAAUGUUCAAUACAACUUGAUAAAAUGUGAUGAAAAAAAUAAACAUGAUGACAUGAUCAGUUUAUUUAUAUUAUUGAUACAGCUAGGUUGAUUUCAAUAAAUGAUCUGUUAUUUUGUAUUUGAAAGAAUUAACAUUUGUAAUAUUUCUUAACGCUAUUGGCAAAUUAUUCCACAAGAAUAAUCCAGAAAACAUAAAAGAUUUUUUGAACAAUUCUGUUUUUGGUUUAGGGAGUAUGAGGUUUCCUUGAACAGUAUUUCUCAAGGGGUAUGGAUUUCUGUCUGAAACAUAAUGAAACUUGUUAAUAAGAUAUGAUGGGCAUCACAUUUAAUGCACUUAAAUGUCAUCACUAACUUAUGAUAUAACAGCGGUAUACUACAAUUGCCUUUAUUGAUCGAUACGUAGAUAUCUUUGGAACAUUAUAAAGUAAAACGUGGAACAAAUUAGGAUGCCGGUUUUAGUUUGCAACACAUGUUGUCUACAAAUAACUGCUAACAGGUUCGAUUGAGAGCAUAAAUUAGAAAAUUCAAAAAAUAUCAAAGUACUGAAAUCAAUUUUUUUUUAUGAUCACCAAUCAGUCGAUUCAACAUACGACAAGCAUUAAGGGAAAGAAUCAAUAAAAGUUUACAUAAAGGUUAGCGAUUCGUUUAGAAUACGGUGUGUUUCAUUCAUCAUAGUGUUACAGCAAUUAAAGACCAUUGCCUUGUAUCUUUCCUUAGAUAACUAAAUUUUAAAUGCUUAAUGUGAUUUAUCAGUCAGUGAACAGUCUCACAGACAUGCAUGUCAAAUAUGUAUGUCGUUCAAUUUCUGGCGUACUAAAUUAUAAUCCUGGUACCUUGAUAACUAUUUACACCACUGGGUCGAAGCCACUGCUGGUGGACGUUUCGUCCCCGAGAGUAUCACCAGCCCAGUAGCCAACACCUUGGUAUUGACAUGAAUAUCAAUAAUGUGGUCAUUUUUUUUAUAAAUUUCCUGUUUACAAAACUUCGAGAUUUUCGAAAAAACUAAGGAUUUUCUUAUCCCAGGCAUAGAUUACCUUAGCCGUAUUUGGCACCACUUUUUUGAAUUUCAGAUCCUCAAUGCUCUUCAAUUUUGUACUUGUUUAGCUUUAAAAAUAUUUUGAUGUGAGCGUCACUGAUGAGUCUUAUGUAGACGAAACGCGAGUCUGGCGUCCUAAAUUAUAAUCCUGGUACCUUUAAUAACUACUAUCAAAUAUGGCAUCAAUUAAACAAUAAACAUUUACAGUUCAAACUUUUCUGGAUUGGCUCUAUUAAGAUAUAUUUCAGACCUCUAAAUUAAAAAAAAACAGACACUGCUUCCUCUGUCGCAUUGAUUGACUUAUACUUAGAUACUUAGAAUUUGACAUCAGUGGUCAUAUCAGUAUCAGAAUCUAUAAAACAAGACGGUUUUAAUUUUGAGGUAGCAAUAUACCGACUUUUCCUGCAUAUGUACACAAACAGGAGCUUCUUAAUGGCAAAAUAUUUAGAUUAGAAGGUAGACUUUUUUCAACAAAUUGUUGGCAUUUCUAUUGUAGCUGUAGGUAAAUAUGAGGUUAUAUUUCUUAAACAAUUCAAACUUUUCUGGCUUGGUUCUAUUAAUAUAUACUUCAGAACUCUUAAUUGAAAAGAAACAAGUCAGGAGUCCCUUGUUUGUCUUGUAUGAUUUUCAACUUUAUUUCAUUUAUAUAUUUCGGAGCUUAGUGUUACGUCCUUUAUCACUUUACUAGUAUACAUGUUUGUAUAGGAGCCAACUUAACUACGCCUCUGUGUGCAGCUAUAUUGAAGACCGAUUGGUGGCCAGGACUAUUUCCUCCUUUUUACUCGGAUUGGUGUCUCUUUGACACAUUUCCGAUUUCCAUUUUCAAUUUUAUUAGUUUCAUUGUUGAGGAGAAUGAAGUCUGCAUACAAUGUGUAUUUAGUUCAAUAUUUGAGUUUCCUCUUUUACCACAAAGUCCCCAAUAAGUGGUAUCCCACGAUUAAAAUAAAUCCAAAAUAGCGAAUAUAAACUUAUAAGUAUUAUAAAUAUAACUUCAUAUUCAUGUAGUGGACACAAAUGCAAGACGUGAAUUGUAGAAGGUACUACAUGUAUAUAUAUAUGUUACGGAUCUCAAUCCAUCUUAAGCAAAUUAUGAUUGUGUGACCUCUUUUUUGCAAUUUGUUGCAUCUGUUUCUUCUCCGUUUUGAAGAGGUGCACAAAGAAGACUAUUUUACAACAAAAAAAUGAUUAUUGAUAAAAGGUGGAUUUCUUAUGCAGUAUGUCUUCCUACUCAUUAUUUUAAGUUGGUGUAACAUAAAAAAAUAAUUUCAUUUUUUUCAAAGUGGUCUAUUGCCAUAAAACUUCAAAGAAAUAUUGUAAGUACAUGUAUAUAAACAAUGUACAUAAAAGAAAGCUUGUAAAACCCUCUUCGAUCAUGUUUAUCAGGAAAGAAAAAUGAAAAGGCGUUUGCCAAAAAAACUACAUCCAUUUGAAAGCAACCAAUUGAUAUGGGACUAAACUUUAAUAGCUAGAUAAAUCUCCAGCUUUUUAAAUUCCCUUGAACUUGUAUGCUGUAAAAUUGAGAAAGGAAAUGGGGAAUAUGUCAACGCGACAACAACCCGACCAUAGAGAAGACAACAGCCGAAGGCCACCAAUGUGGUUAUAUAUUGAUAUAUGCGUCUAUUUUUUUUUUUUUUUUUGUCAAAAACAACAUUGAUAUAUUAGAAUAGAAAGCACAUGUUGUGUUUGAAGUUAUAGUCGACAGUAGUAAAGUGUUUUCGAUAGAUUUUUAUUUUUUUUGAAAAUAUAUAUAUAAUAACAGCACAUUUGAAUAGGUUCUAUUUGUGUCCUAAGAGAAUAUAAUUGCAGUCUUACGCAUCUGUAUGAGUGAUGAAGCAUAUAUAUUGAUCGCUGUUUUAUCUUUUUUUACUUUAACGUGAUUUCACAAUUCUUAUAAUUCGAGAAUGAAUUCAAGGAUGUUCGUCAGUGGUAUUUUUUUUUUUUUUUUUUUUUUUUACUUUUUGUUAGAAAUUUAGAUCCCUUAGUCGUAUCAAUGUUAUGCAAUAAUAGCAGUAUAAUUGAAAGGGGAAUCUUCAUGUCCUUAAUGAAUUUAACUAUUGUCUUACGCAACUUUAUCUGUUUUAUCUUUUUUUUUAUUUUGACGUAAUUGCACAAUUCUUAUAGUCGGAAAGAAUUCAAGGAUGUUCGUGACUAGUUGUUUUUUUGUUUUUUUGUUUUUUUUUUAAAUUUUGAAUCUUCUAGUUCUAUUCAAGUAGUGCCAUAAUAGUAAAUUUGAAUGGGGAAUGUUGUAAGUUCAUUAAACUUUUGUCUUAUUCAACUGUAUGCUUGAUGAAUAAAAUUGAGAAUGGAAGUGGGGAAUGAGUCAAAGAGACAACAACCCUACCUUAGAACAGACAACAGCUGAAGGCUAUUAACGGGUCUUCAAUGGAAUUAAGCAAAUUCCAUUGAAUACCCUUUUUUAUUUAUUUUUUAAUUUGGAAACAUAUAUAUUGAAAGCUGUUUUAUCUUUUUUCUUAAAAUGAUUUCACAAUUCCUUUAAUCGGAUUGAUUUUAAUGAUGCAGUAAAUUUGUAUGGGGAAUUUGUUCAUGUCCUAAGUUUAUCAACUGCAUGGUUUAUGCAGCAUAUAUAUAUCUUGAUCCGCGUUAAGAUAACGUGAUUUCACAAUUCUUAUAAUUGGAAAAAAAUCAAUGAUUUUCGCCACUGAUAUUUUGUUACUUUUUGUUAGAAAUAUUCGGAACUCUCUUGUUUUAUGAAUGUAGUGCCAUUUAAGAAAUAUUGCCAGCUAACCCUUAUUUUUCUAUUCAGUUUUUAUUAUACAUAGUUUAAAAAGUCAAUUAUUCUAUAAAUUGCUUGUUAUUCUUUCAAAAUGUAUGGCAGAGAGAAAGUAACAAUGUUAAAUUUGGAAAAAAUCAAGAAGAAAUAACUUCCCGCCACAUUUUAAAUUGCUUUUAUGUUCUUGAAACUACUACAGUCAGUGGCUUACCUUUCAUUCUCCCUGCUUUUAAUUUAAAAUCCGCUAUUAAAAAAUUAUUUCUAACAAUCUUUUAGUGUUGUUUUUUUUUUUAUUAUUUGAAACGAAUGAACUUUCUUUUAACUUUCUAUUGAUUGAUAAAGCCAUCGAUUUUUAUGACCAUUAUAUUUUCAACUUUUCAACUUAUUCACUAAGGGCACUCAUUUUUAAAAGGGGGUUCCCAAUCCUGUGUAAAGGGGAGGAUAAUUCCAACCAUAUGUCCCAAAACAAAUGCAUUGAACGUUCAAGAACGGGGUUUCAACUCAAGGAACAUUUUCCCCCUUUUUUGAUAUGCCACUAUCAAUAGUUUUGUACAGGCAUGUAGCUUUUGUACUGCUACAUUGAAAAUUAACUGUGCAAGUUAGAGCCUUAAAUAUCUUUGUUUCUUUCAAACAACUUUAAGCUGCGGAUUCUUGAAACUAAUACAGUCAGUGGUUUACAAUGGAUUAUUUAAAACAAUUUAGAUGCUUUAUUUGGAAAAUUAAUCUGCUUAAAGUGCUGAUCCUGUGUCCAAGCUUGCUUGCAAGGAUCUGACAACACUACGUUUUUUUUUUUCUGUUCAGCUAAAUUUUAUAUCAUCCAAUCAAAUUUAGAUUGCAAAUUUCUGCUGGUGUGUAUUAAGCUGAUAUAACCGGAGGAUUCCGAAAGGACUUUUAAACAGACUAAUGGCGUUUUUGUGUCAUUUAAGCAAAAUCUGCAUCUUAAUCAGACUGAGGAAAUGUGAAUGAACUUUAUAUACCAGUGUGAUGUAACAUAUGGUUUGGUUUUAUCGUACCGCAGAAGGUAAUAUUUUAGGGCGGGGAAAAUUAUUGAUUUAAUUAUCAUUGCUGCAUUAACAUUAACCAGUACCAAUGUCACUGCCCCAUGAACCAGAUACCUCAUUUCGACAGGAAAUAAGUCAUGGAUGAUGCUAGAGGCCAACAUAUCCAAAAAUCUUAAAUUUAAUGGUUACUUGGAUGCGAGAGUACAAAGUAAAGGUCAAAAGUAAGUCGAACCUUGAUGAGAAUUAAAAGCUUUAUAUAAUGGAUGUAUAGUCAUUUAAUUCAAAUACAAAGACAAGAAAUAAGCCGAGCAUAGAUUACGAAUCAGAGCUGCAUUUGUUCAUCAUUCCUUCAUAUCUACACAGCUACUUAAGUACAAGUAAUAUUAAUAUACAGUUCUAGAUGCAUAUCAAAUGACAUCUAUAAACUGUAUAUAAACUGUACAGCUGUAAAGCUGUAUAUAAACUGUACACCUGUAAAGCUGGUAUAUAAAGUUAUUAUUAACUGUACAUCUAUUAAGCUGUAUAUUAACUGUACAUCUGUAAAACUGUAUAUCAACUGUACCGAUAUAAAAGCUGUAUAUGAACUGUACAUAUAUUAAGUUGUUUAUAAACUGUACAUCUGUAAAACUGUAUAUAACUGCACAUUAUUAAAUCUGUACAAGCUAAACAUAAAGAUUCUGCCACUGCAUCUUCUUUGAUACGAUAUCUAUCCACAAUUUAUAUACAGAUUUACAGAUGUUCAGCUUAUAUGGACGUCAUAUUAAACUCAAAAUCAUAUAAAUUAACAAAAAUUUAAAAACCUACAAGACUAAAAAAGGCUCCUUACUUUGAGCAGGCGCAAAAUACCGCGGGAUAAAACAUGUUUUGUGAGAUCUGAACCCUCCAAGUCUAGAUAAGUAAUCAGAUGUAGGUACACUAGUGGUACAGACCUUAAGAUUUUUUAAUGUUUUGAAGUGUACCACAUUAUAAUAUGCAAUAUCCGUUUGUUAUUGUCAGUACUUUUCUUUGUGACUGGGCAACUAUUCUAGGGAAAAACUAUUUGACUAAGGCCGAACAAAAAAAGUAUGUGUGUUUACUGUCAAAUGCUGAAAAAAUAGGGUGGAUAGGUAGGAAAUUUGUUUUAUUUUCAUUCAUUUUUUUUUUUUGCAUUGAGUCUAUGGGAGAAACAUUGUGACUUUAACAGUGCUUUAUCAAAAAUGGCCAAAAAGCCUUUUGGGUAGGGGAUAAAUUUAAGGUAAGGUAGGUAGGGGUACAAUAAACACACAUACUUUUUUUAUUUGGCCUAACGGUCUUUACAGAUACUCUAAGUGAUAAAUAGCAUUUUUCAGAUCUAGGCAAUGUCAUAAAAUACAGUGAAACCUAUUUUCAGAGACCACUUAAGGGAGAGCAAAAAAGUGGUCUCUUAAGACAGGUGGUCUUGUAAUACAGGUUCAAUUCAUAUGAAAUGUCCAUAACUGGCGUUUUUUAAAAACAGGUUUUUAUUUAAUACAGGUGGUCUCUAAAGCAGAUUUUAUGACUGUAGUAAUUUAUUUGUCUAUAAUCAUAUAAAGAAAAUACUAUAAUAAAUACAUUAAAUAUCUAUAUAUGUGGGUUUAGUCUCAUUAAAAUGACCCAAAUAAACGCAGGUUAAGAUGCUUACUCAUAUUGGCCUCUCUUAUAUUGAUAUCUUGUUAUUCGAGCGUCACUGAGUUUUUUUAUAGCUACAUGUAUAUAAUGUUUGAAAGAUCUAAAUGUUUGCCCAGCAUUGCCAUGAUUGGCUAUUCUUUCUGGUGUAUAGCUCUUAAUCUUUUUAUGAAGCUUCGGAUUUCAAAUUUUUUGGCCUCGAGCAUUACUGAAGAGACAUUACUUGUCGAAAUUAGCAUGUUGCAGAAAAAUGUGUACCGUUAUGUGAUUAAAGUAGAAUGCCCAUCUGGUGUAGAAAAUUAUAGGCUCUGUAUAUUUCAUGAGUUUUUCAUUUACUUUUACGGUGUGUUUAAACACGUUUAUUUACAGGAGAAUUCUUGAUCUCUAUCAGACAUAAUGACAUGGAUAUUAAGUGUCAACAUGCAUUUAAGCGACUAAUAAGUGAGAAAAACAUAUUCAUUUGGCCUAAGGAAACAGAUUUAUUAAACAUUAUCCCUCUGGAGGUAAAACUAGUUUAGUCUCGAUCAAUGUAAAGCAAUUGAUACGUCAUACUUGUCCAAAAUUGAGAAUAAAUAUAUUUGAACAAGAAUCAUUUGAGAAUGAAUAUUUAUUUGCAAAAAGGAUAUGGAAAAGAUGUUCAAUACAUGUUUGAUAUCUAUAUAUUCUAUAAAACGAGUCUCAUCAUGGGUUUUUGAUCAUGUGAUUACUUAACCGUUUUCAUAGUGAUUAUUUGAGUACCAGACACAAUAUUUCAAGAUUGCUUGAUUAUUUGAUAAUCUAAGACUGUUUUUUUGUAUUAUUUGAUUGUCUUGUUUAAAAAAAAUAUUAAUUAUAUUUUGAUUUUAUUGGCAAAACCUGUGAUCACGUGAUAACUUAGACACCCCAUGAGAAGCCUCUAUAAUCAGAACUUGGUCGACAUCCAUACUGUCAACUGCGAGUACUCGUGCACGUGACUAUCAUUCGCUUACAAGGUAGGCUCCACCACUGAGUCAUUAUUUGCUAAGUUAGUUUAUCUUGUUCAUCAGUAAUUUAAAUAUUACCGUUCACACAACAUAUAUAGAAGCGGGAUUGCAGGAGCCUUUAUUUAUAAAAGGACAGAAUCGUUUGGAUAUAUGUUUAAUAAACAAUAGUUUGCCGGUAAUACAUUUCUUGGAACACCAUUGGUUUAAAAUUGACCGCGUAGGAUAGGCGUUGUUUAUUUUUUAUAUACGGUAGGUUGUGAUGUUACUUCCCUUUAAAAAGAUAUUCUUCAAAUUGAGGGUCAAGAUAUCAGUUGUAUUACAGGGAUUGGACAACACUUACAGUUUCAAUCUGAAAAUCUUCACCGUCAUACUUGUUACGACUUCCUUCCAAUUAGUACUUCCUAUCCGUCAGCCGUUUGACCAUUUCUUUUAGGUUACUUUCCCCGUUCCUACAUUAACUCCAACUUUCAUCAUUUAUUUUUCUCAUCUUACUCCCUGUGCCCACGUUUAUUUCUCCAGGCGUAUAAGGUUGCCAUGACAAUGUUUAAAAUGAAAUAUUUGCGAAAGGAAAUAUAAUUUCGUUACCAUUUUUCUUGCAAUUAUGAAGGUAUAUUAACAUGUAUAUGUUUAUCAAAUUUAAAUAAACUUAAAAGAGGGGGCAAGGGGUAUAACUGUUAUUCUGUUAUAGGGCAAAUUAAUUCAUUGUUAUCUGUUAUGCCUCAAAUAUGUUUGCUGUUAGGUGUUAUUGUCUUAUUUCUUGUUAACUGUUAUGGGACAAUUAUAUUUUUUGUUAUCUGUUAUUGUGAGUAUAUAACUACUGUUUUCAGUUAUUGAAAAUUGGAAUGUUAGCAUUUUGACAGCUAAUCUUUGGUAGAAAUUGAAGAUCACUGACAAUUUGGAUCCUACCACUGCUAAUAUAAUAGUGCUCCUAACUCGGAGAAGGAUUUUAGUUACAUACACAUCAAAGACCUUCAUACGUGUAUUUCCCCUGUUGUUAUUGAUCCUCAACCAUUUGCCUCAACUCGGCCGAUUUUGUACCCUCAUCUGGAGAGUAUAGCGGAUUCUACCGAGGAUUGCCGAAUGGAUCCUUACCAAAACCAUUGAUGUGCCGAAGUGAGGCGGCAACCAGAUUGGUUAAAUAUCAAUUUUGAAGAAGAAAAAAAACACAAG
Molecule: long non-coding RNA, 13401 nt
Filed under: Mytilus galloprovincialis (Mediterranean mussel)
Lineage: Eukaryota; Metazoa; Mollusca; Bivalvia; Mytilida; Mytilidae
Source: RNAcentral